ACGGAAGGCAGCAGUGAGGAAUAUUGGUCAAUGGGCGGAAGCCUGAACCAGCCAAGUCGCGUGAAGGGAGAAGGUAUUAUGUAUUGUAAACUCCUUUAGCUGUGGAGCAAUAAUCGCUAUGUAUAGCGGGAUGAGAGUACACAGAGAAUAAGGAUCGGCUAACUCCGUGCCAGCAGCCGCGGUAAUACGGAGGAUCCGAGCGUUAUCCGGAUUUAUUGGGUUUAAAGGGUGCGCAGGCGGCGUUUUAAGUCAGUGGUAAAAUCGUGGGGCUCAACCCCAUCCUGCCAUUGAUAUUGGAGCGCUUGAUUGCGGUCGAGGUUUGCGGAAUUCGUCGUGUAGCGGUGAAAUGCAUAGAUAUGACGAAGAACACCGAUUGCGUAGGCAGCAGACCAGUCCGUAAAUGACGCUCAUGCACGAAAGUGCGGGGAUCGAACAGGAUUAGAUACCCUGGUA
This 453-nucleotide ribosomal RNA is filed under the name uncultured Porphyromonadaceae bacterium. RNAcentral describes it as "partial 16S ribosomal RNA". It matches the Rfam family "Bacterial small subunit ribosomal RNA", at positions 341 to 792 of the family's 1533-position model. The record is from RNAcentral. Lineage: Bacteria; Pseudomonadati; Bacteroidota; Bacteroidia; Bacteroidales; Porphyromonadaceae.